Molecule: transfer RNA, 90 nt
Filed under: Actinomycetota bacterium
Lineage: Bacteria; Bacillati; Actinomycetota
Description: tRNA-OTHER
Source: RNAcentral
CGGUUGUUUGCAGGUAGUUUGCCGCCAGACCUCUCCCCCACGUGCUGCUUGCCAUGCAGAAGGUCGUGGGUUCGAAUCCCAUCAGCCGCU